AUGUGCGGGAUGGACGCCGCUAACCCUGAUCUGCCGCAGCUGGAGCAGCAGGACAAUGGCAAUGGCAUCAGCAUAGAGAAGACGACUGACUCAUCAUCGCUUGACGCCGGCCAUGGCGAGCCCUUCCACAACUACCGCGGAUGGAAGGCCAUGCCUUACGUCAUAGGGAAUGAGACUUUUGAGAAACUUGGCACGAUCGGGACACUAUCGAACUUGCUCGUGUACCUGACAACAGUGUACCACAUGAAGAGCGUCAAUGCUGCCACCCUCCUCAACUUCUUCACCGGCAGCUGCAACCUCGCCACCGUCCUGGGCGCCUUCAUCAGCGACACCUACGUCGGCCGCUACACCACCCUGGCGGCCGCCACCAUCGCCUCCUUCGUCGGCAUGGUCCUACUCACCCUCACUUCCGCGCUCCACUCCCUCCACCCUCCUGCCUGCAUCUCCAAAGGCCAAUGUGAGGGCCCCACCCCCUCCCAGCUUGUUGUGCUCCUUGUGUCCUUCUUCUUCCUCGUUAUCGGGGCCGGCGGCAUCCGCCCAUGCAACUUGGCAUUCGGGGUUGACCAGUUUGAUCCACACACCGCCGAUGGACGGCGUGGCAUCACUAGCUUCUUCAACUGGUACUACUUCACCUACACUGUCGCCAUGAUGAUCUCUGCCACUGUCAUCAUCUACCUCCAAAGCGAUGUCAGCUGGGCGCUAGGACUCGCUGUGCCUGCAGUGCUCAUGGGCCUCUCAUGCGCCGUCUUCUUCAUGGGCACACGCCUCUACGUCCGCAUCAGCCCGGAGGGUAGCCCAUUCACCAGCUUCACACAGGUCCUCGUUGCUGCCUUCCGCAAGCGCCACCUCCGACAAAAUAACAACACCGUCGAGUUGUUUGACCCGCCGCACAGGAGCAAGCUCGUCGCCAAGCUGGCAUACACUGACCAGUUCACGUGCCUUGACAAGGCGGCCAUGCAGACCACAGAGGACGUGGUCUGCUCCGACGGGAAGACGUUGGCAGACCCGUGGCGGUUGUGCACGAUGCAACAGGUGGAGGAGGUGAAGUGCCUAGCGCGUGUCAUCCCGGUAUGGUCAUCAGGAAUUGUAUACUUCGUGGUGAUCACCCAGCUAGGCACCUACAUCGUGUUCCAGGCGGAGCAGACCGAUCGCCGGAUUAGCAACUCCGCCAGCUUCAAGAUCCCCGAGGGCUCCUUCGUCAUCUUCCAAAUGUUCGCCCUCACGAUCUGGAUCCCCGUGUACGACCGGCUGGUGGUGCCGGCGCUCCGCCGCUUCACUAAGCGCGAAGGCGGCAUCACCCAGCUCCAGCGGAUCGGCGUUGGGCUGGUGCUCUCUGUGGUGACUAUGCUGGUGUCUGCAGCGGUGGAGCAUCGGCGGCGCCGGACGGCCAUGAUGUCAUGCUUCUGGCUGGUACCACAACAGCUGUUGGUGGGGCUGUCGGAGGCGUUCACAGUCGUCGGGCUGACCGAGUUCUACUAUAGGCAGUUCCCGGAGAACAUGAAGAGCGUGGCGGGGGCGCUCUUCUUCCUGGGUGUCGCGGUGGCGAGCUUCGCGAGCGGGCUCAUGGUGACACUGGUGCACCGGGUGACCAGGAGACGGGACGGGCGGCCGGACUGGCUGGCGCAGGACCUGAACGAGGGAAGGGUUGACUUGUUCUACCUCGUCACCGCCGCUAUAGCUGCCGCCAACCUCAUCUACUUCGUGGCCUGCGCACGGUGGUUCAGGUUCAACAAGUCCGCCGACGGCGCCCAUGCUAGCAAUGCCAUCGAGCUUGACGAAGGCCCAAACAAGGCUGCAUGCGGUGGCCAUUUAGCUUAA
RNAcentral lists this ribosomal RNA (1818 nucleotides) under Triticum aestivum (bread wheat). RNAcentral's name for it is "partial small subunit ribosomal RNA". Lineage: Eukaryota; Viridiplantae; Streptophyta; Magnoliopsida; Poales; Poaceae. The record is from RNAcentral.